Molecule: long non-coding RNA, 618 nt
Filed under: Ananas comosus (pineapple)
Lineage: Eukaryota; Viridiplantae; Streptophyta; Magnoliopsida; Poales; Bromeliaceae
Description: long non-coding RNA (ACOM_LNC011678)
Source: RNAcentral
CGAAUAAAAUUUAGAGUUUAAAACAUAUUUUGAUUGUGAAGCCUCACUUCCUAAGGUCAUCUAUUUUAGGACUACUCUAGUCCUGACACGCUUAACUCUUAGCCACCGUCAAAAAUAUCAUAGUCGAAUUAACUCGCUAGUCUUAACCGAUCUGGCAAGGCUCCGUAAGAUUCUUUUCGUUAGUCUUAACCGACCUUAUGGUGGAGCCGCUCUCUAUCCACAACAAUUAUUAGCAUGAGAGUUUCGCUUUCCCCGCUGUAUAAUCUUAACGCAAUAGAUAUUCAUCUCACAUUUUCAGUAUAAUAUUGACUCAGCUAAGACUCAUCUCAUAUUUUCAAUUGCUAAUUAGUUAUGAUAUUAAUUGUGAUGCCCCACUUCUCAGGAGCCAUCCAUCCUAUAACUACUCUAACUCUAACAUGUUUAACUCUCUUAAUCUCUUGAUCCUAAUCACCGUCUAAAAUACAAUAGCCAGAUUAAGAGUUUUAGCUCUAUUAUAUUUUAUAUAUACGACUAUCUAAAGUCUAACAUAAAUAAUUUUAAAAUAAAUUUAAAAAUUUUGAACAAUAUUAAAAGAUAAAUAAGGAAAAGGAUAUAAAAUCGUGUGUGGGCUUCUUAUUA